CCAUGAAGUUCACUCUAAUCUGCUAGCUGGAAAAGAUGUCUUACUCCACUGAACCUGAGCAGUUCUCUAAUCCAUAUGCCAUUUGUCACUUUUCCUUUCCAAUUUUGUAUUACAGGCAUAAUCCCAGGUGUAUUGAUUAGGUCCUACCAGAAAAUAUUUCUUCAUCCCACCAUCCAGAGUUCCACAGUAAUACAGAGCGGCAUCAUUUUCAGUAAAUAUAGCCUUGGAUAAGGCUUGGGGAAGAGGCCAGAAAAAGUCCAGAUGAGUCCAGCUCGGUUUGAAGUUCUGCAAUGCAAAUGGAGACUACCAUUUCAGAAGCACUUGAGGUAAAAGCAGCACACCUAAUAGAACAAUAUUCACAUUGGCAAGCCAUAGAGAAUGACGACAAAUACAUGGAAGCAGAACCAUCCCAGCCAUCAGAACUUGAAGCAGACAGCAAGGCUGCCCACUGCCCACUGAUUUCAGCCAAGAUCAGCUGGUACUCAGCUGACUCAAAGAUGCUUGAAGUGACUGUUCUCAUUCUGUGUUUUGAGUCUAUUGCACAACAAUUGCUGAUUGGCAUAGAUCCUGAACACUUAAAAACAGGUUGCUGAUUUCAGAU
Long non-coding RNA from Pan paniscus (pygmy chimpanzee), 601 nucleotides. The record is from Ensembl. NCBI's taxonomy places the organism in Eukaryota, Metazoa, Chordata, Mammalia, Primates, Hominidae.